Molecule: non-coding RNA, 90 nt
Organism: Polyporus arcularius HHB13444
Lineage: Eukaryota; Fungi; Basidiomycota; Agaricomycetes; Polyporales; Polyporaceae
Source: the annotation of a GenBank genome assembly
GGCCGCCUGGCGUAAUGGCAACGCGUCUGACUACGAUAAGUUGGUAUCAUUGUAAUCAGGAGAUUGCAGGUUCGACCCCUGCGGUGGUCA